GAUUAAAAAUGGCACACGUAUAUUUUUAUGUAUACACAACAGGGUUACAAGACAAACCCUAAAAUUCAACACCAUAUACCAAUAAAUCUAAAAGUUAGCAAUUGACAUUGAAGACGAGGAUGGAUUGAGGCCGAGUCAACUCACCUGGGUGAGAUCCAUUUUCAGAAAGAUUUAGCAAUUUAUCAAGAUUUUGAAUGCUGCUUUUCCGUGAUAAAUAUGUGCAUAAGCUAAAUAAAGCUUCUCUUCUUCUGGUAAUUCUGUUGUUAUCGAGCGAGACAGAAAGCAGCAGAGAAGCUUUCUUGC
Molecule: unclassified non-coding RNA, 303 nt
Filed under: Hevea brasiliensis (rubber tree)
Lineage: Eukaryota; Viridiplantae; Streptophyta; Magnoliopsida; Malpighiales; Euphorbiaceae
Source: RNAcentral